This 491-nucleotide ribosomal RNA is filed under the name uncultured bacterium. RNAcentral's name for it is "partial 16S ribosomal RNA". It matches the Rfam family "Bacterial small subunit ribosomal RNA", at positions 29 to 506 of the family's 1533-position model. The record is from RNAcentral.
AGUGAACGCUGGCGGUAGGCCUAACACAUGCAAGUCGAACGGCAGCACAGUAAGAGCUUGCUCUUACGGGUGGCGAGUGGCGGACGGGUGAGGAAUACGUCGGAAUCUACUUUUUCGUGGGGGAUAACGUAGGGAAACUGACGCUAAUACCUCAUACGUCCUACGGGUUAAAUCAGUGGAUCUUCGGACCUUUCCCGAUUGAUUUAGCCGGGGUCGAAUUAGCUAGUUGGCGGGGUAAGGUCCCACCAGGGCGAGGAUCCGUAGCUGGCCUGAGAGGAUGGUCGGCAAACCUGAAACUGAGAAACGGCCCAGCUCCCAACGGGAGGAAGAGGUGGGGAAUAUUGGACAAUGGGGGAAGGCCUAAGCCAGCAAUACGGGGUGGGUGAAGAGGGCCUUCGGGUGGUAAAGCCUUUUUGUUGGGAAAGAAAAGCAGCAGGUUAAUACCCCGCUGUUCUGACGGUACCCAAAGAAUAAGCACCGGCUAACUUCGU